Molecule: long non-coding RNA, 4708 nt
Organism: Synchiropus splendidus (mandarinfish)
Lineage: Eukaryota; Metazoa; Chordata; Actinopteri; Syngnathiformes; Callionymidae
Exons: 3
Source: RefSeq, a predicted model, not a curated record
CUCCACCCGCAGACGUGAAAGAGGCUCAUUCUCCGUCCGCAGUCAGCGCGGAAACACCUCCACCUGCCGCCCAUGAGCUCAGCAGACAAUGCCAGGUCUGUGUGGCUCCACAGACGAGCGGCGCGUGACAUAAACACUCAGCAGAAGGUGGACAAUAAUCGGCUCAAAUGGGCGUCUUGCAUGAGCUCAGUGCCUGAUGUGUUUAUGGAGUGUUGCCACCCAAACCCUGGCUACACCAGGGACUCUGUUCCUCCAGUAAAUAUUUGGGAUGUGCAGACCUUCUCUGACACCGGUGUGACCACGCUCACACUGAGCACACUCGUGGUUUCCCUCAUGUGCUACAGUGACUGGUAAACUAUGGCUCAUCUUAUGACUCAUUUCUGCUGAGUCAGCGGAGUCUCACUCCAGGGUAUUUGGGGUGAGAGGCAGGGGAGGCCCUGGACUUCCACUCAAGCACUCGCACAGAAAUAAGACUCUCACAAAAGUUGGCAUUUACAAACUUUGGCAAGCGCUUCUUUAUUUACAUCCAGACUGUCUCGACGUCACAGCGGUUUUCCCUUGUCUUUUUACAUAUUCAGUGUUGAGGAGAAGAUCCCACUUGACUGAGACAUGCGAGGCCAGACACCGGAGUCUAGUAGAAAGAAUCGACUGAUCCACGUUCAGUAUCUCCCAGGAGUCGUAGCUUCUCGUGACCUCCACAAGAGGGAGCUACUGAAACAGAAUGUGAAUGCCCUUUAAACUGUACAAGAAACACACAGACGCAGGACUACACGAGAAUGUGUCGGUUAAUAGAACUCUAAAAUACUGACAGAAAAAAAAACUGGAGUUAGUUGAAGACACUUCACUUUUUACCCAAGAAACGAGACGACCAGUUUGAGUGGAAGCACUGAAAGCAGUCGCCGGAAAGUUGAGCAUCGGUGUCUAUUAGUUUCCUGUCUCUGCUUUGUUUGGUGGCUGGGGCUUGGGAUGCACAAUGAUGAACAAGCUUUGGAUAGAAGAACAUGCGUUGAGGGGCUAAUCUAGUGUGGGGCAGCUUGUGAAAGUGUGUCACCAAGAGCACCUCUGAGCGAUGAUGGGAAGUGAAGAGCCAACCACUGCUCUACGCCUGAACCCUUAGCUGUGGGUGCCUCAAAGCAUCUGACCGUGCUGUGUUUGUCUUCUGGCUUCAGCACUGGAGUUAAGUUUGGAAAGAAACAAACUCGGCAGCACAAACGCCGCACCUCCUGAAAGCAGCAAAGACGCCUCAUAAGGGGAGACAAGGAAGUCGCUGUGGUCACUUUCCAUUCCACAGGCAUCCAGACUCAAGUGUUUUAAGAGUCUUCAGGGGGGUUACGUGGAAACGAAGAGCUAAUGUGACCUCAUGAUUGAGUCAGAACGCACAGCUCCGUAAAGUGAAAGGGUGUGUUGAGAAGGCGGAGGAGAGAGAAGGAUCAGUUAUCCAGCAAGUCAGUUUGGCAAGUGCCUCCCUGUGGUUGCGAGCUGUAAACAAUUGUAUAAAGAGUCAUUCUGCCUCAGUACGACUUCCUCGAACUCUUCUCACCACAAUGGGAGGUGGAGGAACUGGAAAAUGCUGUAGUUGCACAAGUAUGUAGCAACAACGUGAAGACAGAAGGUGAAGUGGUUCGUUCUAAUGUGCUACGUCGCCACCCUGUGGAUUGGAGGGACGGUAAUCGGGAUUGAUGAAGAAAAUAUAUGGCGAAUAGAUGAGAACUACUGCUGGCUGAUACUACUAACCCAACUCAGAGGAACAGGAAGUUGCUAUGACGAUGGGUGCUUGCACACAGGCAUCCUACACUAGGCAGUGGAGGAAACAACAAGCUUGACGUCAAAGUGGGAGGGUUUGAGGCAGGGGAUUUGCACGCGCCGUAUACUGUCUAGAACCAUGGGUGUUGAUGAAACCCUUGUCUUUGUUCUGUGACUUUCAAUGAAGCACCAAAGGCACUAUCGGAGCCGUAUACAGAGAAGGAGGGAAAGACGGUCAGGAGAACAAAGACAGAAGCAAUUUGACAUUGUUAUGGUCUCCAGAUCCGGCCAAUCAGGUGGCUCUGAUGUGAGUGAGUACUCCGUCCUGCACCUGCAGAACCAGGUCGGGGCAGGUGUGAAAACGUCACUGCUAGAACUGGUAUCUAUGAUUCAUCUCUCCAGAGUUCCUUUCUAAAACAUUGACAUAUCGCACAACAAACAUCUGCCCAGUAGUGAAGUUCGGAAAGAAGUUGGCUUAGCAAACAUUUCCCUGGAAGCGUCUUCAAAAAACUCGCCGCCGUACAACCGUCAGACGCGCACGUGACAAGAAUGAUCUCUACAGACAGAAAAAAGCUCACACCUACAGUUAGUUGCUGGUAGGUUCAUGUCAUUUUUGGCAAAAAGACUUUGAAAAGGCAUGUUUUUUUUUAUCAGCGGUUGAUAUUUACACGCACUGUUUAGAGUCCAUGGAGCAUGCAUAGGUCAUCAUGAAGUCCUCUGAGCCGCCUGCUGUCCCUCAGUGAGAAUGAAAAGAAGACUCAGCAGCACAGUGCAAACACACCUCCGUCUACGACACAGAUUGAGAAAGUGAGAUCGGUGCUCAGUACUAUGCGACGCAGCUACUUGGAUUGUAAGAAAAGAGAGUUUCUUUGAGGCGUCACCACGCUCCCUUGAUAACCUGACCAAAAAUAAGGUGAUGCAGAGAAGACAGCCAACGCUAAUUCAUGUCGUAAAACUGAAGUCCCGCCCCAAAAACAAACACUAUACAGUUUCCCUCUUCGGGGUCAGAAUAUAUUUACAUUCACAUCUCUAGAAAACAAGCUUCUUCUUAAUUUAAAGUAAAAAAAAAACAAAGUAGAAAAGAAGAAUUGCCGGGGCUCGAAUGUUGACGCUAAGGUCAGAGCUUUAGCUUCACUCAACGGAGAACGGCGUAGAAAUCUACAAAAAGCACUAAAGUGACAUUUUGGCAGUUUCAGUCCUGCCUCAUGUUCAAGUUCCAAAACUUUGGUAAAAACCCUCCAGCAUGACGAAUGGAAGUCUUUCUUCAACCGCGAUCGAUAACGCCGUAAUACUGUCAUACUUGGAAACAAAGACACCGUCAGUGACGCGUGGGGUCGAAACUGCUGGUGUUAAUCAUCGCUCACAACAAACCAAUGAAAUCCUUCCAGUAAAAAAAAACAAAAAAACAAAACGGAACACCACAAACACGAUAAUAAAGAAGUCCUUCGUGACAAUCAGUGGAGUGUGACCAGUCGCUGUGAUAUAUUUACAGUGAAGGGCGGUCAGCAGGUCCGCCACCAGACCCGAGUCCAGCACGGAUGAGUGACGCUCCGUCGUGCUGUUGCUGUCGAGUCAAAAGCUGGAUGCUCAAUCAGAUUACAGUGUGUCAAGUGAAGGAACCUCUGUUCGAGGUUAGUUCUGUCAGUGCACUCCGUAGAUGAGCGUCAAACACAGCUGGAUAGGUUUUUGUUCCUGUACAAAGUGUGAAAGUGAGCAUUAUUUAUCGUGACUUCAAGAAAUAGUUCAUCUUAAAUCGUACACUUUCCAGUUUUAAGAAACUCUGACUACAAAUUUCAUUUCAGAUUGUCAAAUAAAACCUACGAUUGUUUGCUAGUUGUUAGUAGUAGUUUUAAAUCACAUCUUCAUAUUGUUAUAUUCGUAAUGAGCAUCCUUUGUGUUGCUUUUUGUGCCCCUCCAAGAAGUGGCUUCCUUUCCAGGGUGUCCUCCACCCUUUCACACCAGCUGGGAUUUGGUCCCAGUUUGACACCAAACCUAAAAUAGCAGCCUUUUUCCCUUCAGAUUUGGUUUUUCAUUGUGUUUUUAGAGAGGAUGGAAUUUGGGGUCAAGGGUUUAUAUUCGGUUCUUGAUAGUAAAAAUAAUAUUUCAUUUGACACUUUCUUUUCGAUCCAAAUAUAAGUAAAGCUGCUGUAACGGUUUCUGUGAAGCACGGGAUUUUCACUCGACAGCAAGGCUACGCCGACAUUCACCAGAGCAGCUCUGCUAUCUUCAGGGGGCAGUUCUUAGGUGUUGCGGACAGCGAGGGCCUGCUCCAGCUCCUGCCUGCGCUGCUGGAUCUGAAACAGGAGCAGACAUGUCACCAAGAAGAUCGCGAUGAAGACACCAGCCUGCUGAAGUCGUCUUCCUCACCUUGCAGUAGAAAUAGCGGCUGACGGCCUCCUGGGACCAGGGCUCGUGGUAGAAGGCUGCGCGGCGCUCCUCCUCAGGGUUCCCCACCACAUCGGUCAUCAACUGAAGGAGAAGAGAAAGGACACGAGCAGACAUGAAAAUAACAGAGGGACAUGGAGACGUUGGGUGACAAAAGUUAGGACGGACAGGCGGCUUGGACACGUGGUGAGGAGAGACAGCGUUGGACAAAGAACAACAAGUGAGCGGAGUCCAAACUUCAUCUGGCUAAUGGAGCUGGACGCUUUCAGCUGAAGGUAAAUGGGAAUAUUGCGGGACGUGUUGUUCCUCCACAGCUAGAAAAGGCAGCAGGACGUCGGUCUGACACGUCCGUUCUGGAGCCGAACAGAGUCUCCCUAAGAGGACAAGAGUCAGUCUAAACCACAGGCUAGCGCCCCCUAGUGGUCAUCAUUUUUAUUUAUUUAUUUCUACUGAAGCUAAAAACUUAAUCCCCCAGUCUGAAAAUCAAAAAAGUACCACAAUAACUUUGUGUUUUUUGGUAAUAUAUUUCAUAAACAACAAUUUAAAUAAAUACAUUUGAAUUUAAAUACAUUUAAGGAUU